CAAAAAGUUCAUUCAGAUUUUUCUAAAACAGCUUACGGAAAAACCAGAACGAACUUUGUGU
MicroRNA precursor from Bos indicus x Bos taurus (hybrid cattle), 61 nucleotides. NCBI's taxonomy places the organism in Eukaryota, Metazoa, Chordata, Mammalia, Artiodactyla, Bovidae. The record is from Ensembl.